Molecule: ribosomal RNA, 566 nt
Filed under: uncultured bacterium
Lineage: Bacteria
Description: partial 16S ribosomal RNA
Rfam family: Bacterial small subunit ribosomal RNA
Source: RNAcentral
UGGGGAAUUUUGGACAAUGGGCGAAAGCCUGAUCCAGCAAUGCCGCGUGUGUGAAGAAGGCCUUCGGGUUGUAAAGCACUUUUGUCCGGAAAGAAAUCCUUGGCUCUAAUACAGUCGGGGGAUGACGGUACCGGAAGAAUAAGCACCGGCUAACUACGUGCCAGCAGCCGCGGUAAUACGUAGGGUGCAAGCGUUAAUCGGAAUUACUGGGCGUAAAGCGUGCGCAGGCGGUUUGCUAAGACCGAUGUGAAAUCCCCGGGCUCAACCUGGGAACUGCAUUGGUGACUGGCAGGCUAGAGUAUGGCAGAGGGGGGUAGAAUUCCACGUGUAGCAGUGAAAUGCGUAGAGAUGUGGGGGAAUACCGAUGGCGAAGGCAGCCCCCUGGGCCAAUACUGACGCUCAUGCACGAAAGCGUGGGGAGCAAACAGGAUUAGAUACCCUGGUAGUCCACGCCCUAAACGAUGUCAACUAGUUGUUGGGGAUUCAUUUCCUUAGUAACGUAGCUAACGCGUGAAGUUGACCGCCUGGGGAGUACGGUCGCAAGAUUAAAACUUAAAGGAAUUGAC